ACGAAUGGUACGACGGUCAAUACCCGUCGUAAGUGACGGUACCGUAAGAGAAAGCCACGGCUAACUACGUGCCAGCAGCCGCGGUAAUACGUAGGUGGCAAGCGUUGUCCGGAAUUAUUGGGCGUAAAGGGCGCGCAGGCGGCGUCGUAAGUCGGUCUUAAAAGUGCGGGGCUUAACCCCGUGAGGGGACCGAAACUGCGAUGCUAGAGUAUCGGAGAGGAAAGCGGAAUUCCUAGUGUAGCGGUGAAAUGCGUAGAUAUUAGGAGGAACACCAGUGGCGAAAGCGGCUUUCUGGACGACAACUGACGCUGAGGCGCGAGAGCCAGGGGAGCAAACGGGAUUAGAUACCCCGGUAGUCCUGGCCGUAAACGAUGGAUACUAGAUGUAGGAGGUAUCGACCCCUUCUGUGCCGGAGUUAACGCAAUAAGUAUCCCGCCUGGGGAGUACGGCCGCAAGGCUGCAACUCAAAUGAAUUGACGG
Molecule: ribosomal RNA, 480 nt
Filed under: uncultured Bacillota bacterium
Lineage: Bacteria; Bacillati; Bacillota
Description: bacterial SSU rRNA
Rfam family: Bacterial small subunit ribosomal RNA
Source: RNAcentral